GGGUUGUGAGGUUAAGCGACUAAGCGUACACGGUGGAUGCCCUGGCAGUCAGAGGCGAUGAAGGACGUGCUAAUCUGCGAUAAGCGUCGGUAAGGUGAUAUGAACCGUUAUAACCGGCGAUUUCCGAAUGGGGAAACCCAGUGUGUUUCGACACACUAUCAUUAACUGAAUCCAUAGGUUAAUGAGGCGAACCGGGGGAACUGAAACAUCUAAGUACCCCGAGGAAAAGAAAUCAACCGAGAUUCCCCCAGUAGCGGCGAGCGAACGGGGAGCAGCCCAGAGUCUGAAUCAGUGUGUGUGUUAGUGGAAGCGUCUGGAAAGGCGCGCGAUACAGGGUGACAGCCCCGUACACAAAAAUGCACAUAUUGUGAGCUCGAUGAGUAGGGCGGGACACGUGGUAUCCUGUCUGAAUAUGGGGGGACCAUCCUCCAAGGCUAAAUACUCCUGACUGACCGAUAGUGAACCAGUACCGUGAGGGAAAGGCGAAAAGAACCCCGGCGAGGGGAGUGAAAAAGAACCUGAAACCGUGUACGUACAAGCAGUGGGAGCACGCUUAGGCGUGUGACUGCGUACCUUUUGUAUAAUGGGUCAGCGACUUAUAUUCUGUAGCAAGGUUAACCGAAUAGGGGAGCCGAAGGGAAACCGAGUCUUAACUGGGCGUUAAGUUGCAGGGUAUAGACCCGAAACCCGGUGAUCUAGCCAUGGGCAGGUUGAAGGUUGGGUAACACUAACUGGAGGACCGAACCGACUAAUGUUGAAAAAUUAGCGGAUGACUUGUGGCUGGGGGUGAAAGGCCAAUCAAACCGGGAGAUAGCUGGUUCUCCCCGAAAGCUAUUUAGGUAGCGCCUCGUGAAUUCAUCUCCGGGGGUAGAGCACUGUUUCGGCAAGGGGGUCAUCCCGACUUACCAACCCGAUGCAAACUGCGAAUACCGGAGAAUGUUAUCACGGGAGACACACGGCGGGUGCUAACGUCCGUCGUGAAGAGGGAAACAACCCAGACCGCCAGCUAAGGUCCCAAAGUCAUGGUUAAGUGGGAAACGAUGUGGGAAGGCCCAGACAGCCAGGAUGUUGGCUUAGAAGCAGCCAUCAUUUAAAGAAAGCGUAAUAGCUCACUGGUCGAGUCGGCCUGCGCGGAAGAUGUAACGGGGCUAAACCAUGCACCGAAGCUGCGGCAGCGACGCUUAUGCGUUGUUGGGUAGGGGAGCGUUCUGUAAGCCUGUGAAGGUGUGCUGUGAGGCAUGCUGGAGGUAUCAGAAGUGCGAAUGCUGACAUAAGUAACGAUAAAGCGGGUGAAAAGCCCGCUCGCCGGAAGACCAAGGGUUCCUGUCCAACGUUAAUCGGGGCAGGGUGAGUCGACCCCUAAGGCGAGGCCGAAAGGCGUAGUCGAUGGGAAACAGGUUAAUAUUCCUGUACUUGGUGUUACUGCGAAGGGGGGACGGAGAAGGCUAUGUUGGCCGGGCGACGGUUGUCCCGGUUUAAGCGUGUAGGCUGGUUUUCCAGGCAAAUCCGGAAAAUCAAGGCUGAGGCGUGAUGACGAGGCACUACGGUGCUGAAGCAACAAAUGCCCUGCUUCCAGGAAAAGCCUCUAAGCAUCAGGUAACAUCAAAUCGUACCCCAAACCGACACAGGUGGUCAGGUAGAGAAUACCAAGGCGCUUGAGAGAACUCGGGUGAAGGAACUAGGCAAAAUGGUGCCGUAACUUCGGGAGAAGGCACGCUGAUAUGUAGGUGAAGCGACUUGCUCGUGGAGCUGAAAUCAGUCGAAGAUACCAGCUGGCUGCAACUGUUUAUUAAAAACACAGCACUGUGCAAACACGAAAGUGGACGUAUACGGUGUGACGCCUGCCCGGUGCCGGAAGGUUAAUUGAUGGGGUCAGCGCAAGCGAAGCUCUUGAUCGAAGCCCCGGUAAACGGCGGCCGUAACUAUAACGGUCCUAAGGUAGCGAAAUUCCUUGUCGGGUAAGUUCCGACCUGCACGAAUGGCGUAAUGAUGGCCAGGCUGUCUCCACCCGAGACUCAGUGAAAUUGAACUCGCUGUGAAGAUGCAGUGUACCCGCGGCAAGACGGAAAGACCCCGUGAACCUUUACUAUAGCUUGACACUGAACAUUGAGCCUUGAUGUGUAGGAUAGGUGGGAGGCUUUGAAGUGUGGACGCCAGUCUGCAUGGAGCCGACCUUGAAAUACCACCCUUUAAUGUUUGAUGUUCUAACGUUGACCCGUAAUCCGGGUUGCGGACAGUGUCUGGUGGGUAGUUUGACUGGGGCGGUCUCCUCCUAAAGAGUAACGGAGGAGCACGAAGGUUGGCUAAUCCUGGUCGGACAUCAGGAGGUUAGUGCAAUGGCAUAAGCCAGCUUGACUGCGAGCGUGACGGCGCGAGCAGGUGCGAAAGCAGGUCAUAGUGAUCCGGUGGUUCUGAAUGGAAGGGCCAUCGCUCAACGGAUAAAAGGUACUCCGGGGAUAACAGGCUGAUACCGCCCAAGAGUUCAUAUCGACGGCGGUGUUUGGCACCUCGAUGUCGGCUCAUCACAUCCUGGGGCUGAAGUAGGUCCCAAGGGUAUGGCUGUUCGCCAUUUAAAGUGGUACGCGAGCUGGGUUUAGAACGUCGUGAGACAGUUCGGUCCCUAUCUGCCGUGGGCGCUGGAGAACUGAGGGGGGCUGCUCCUAGUACGAGAGGACCGGAGUGGACGCAUCACUGGUGUUCGGGUUGUCAUGCCAAUGGCACUGCCCGGUAGCUAAAUGCGGAAGAGAUAAGUGCUGAAAGCAUCUAAGCACGAAACUUGCCCCGAGAUGAGUUCUCCCUGACUCCUUGAGAGUCCUGAAGGAACGUUGAAGACGACGACGUUGAUAGGCCGGGUGUGUAAGCGCAGUGAUGCGUUGAGCUAACCGGUACUAAUGAACCGUGAGGCUUAACCUUACAACGCCGAAGGUGUUU
Molecule: ribosomal RNA, 2931 nt
Filed under: Escherichia coli
Lineage: Bacteria; Pseudomonadati; Pseudomonadota; Gammaproteobacteria; Enterobacterales; Enterobacteriaceae
Description: 23S ribosomal RNA
Rfam family: Bacterial large subunit ribosomal RNA
Source: RNAcentral